Rhinopithecus roxellana (golden snub-nosed monkey) is the source of this 3219-nucleotide long non-coding RNA. RefSeq lists it as uncharacterized. The record is from RefSeq and is a predicted model, not a curated record. Lineage: Eukaryota; Metazoa; Chordata; Mammalia; Primates; Cercopithecidae. The transcript is spliced from 2 exons.
UCUGUCUCCCUGUGGACGGGAACGGUAGGUGGCCACUGGUCACCUAAUGCAUUGCACAGUGACUACCUGUGGGAUUUGGUGACUAUUGCAGGGACAAAUGUUGAAGGACCCUGAAGUGCCUGCCUGUCCCUCCACCCUGACCUCUCUGUGGCUUCUUUUGCUGCAUGUCUAGCUGGGUGCAGUGUCCUGUUACUUGAUCGUUCCUCGUUGGCGUCUACUUUCCUAGUCCUCCCUGGAUGCCUCUUCUAUUGCACCUACUGAACCAGUGGGCUGUGCUCUCUUUCACACAGUGACACUUCUGGCUGAGAAGUCAUUAGUACCCCGCCACCCCCUAUCAUCACAGUCAGUAGGCCCUAAAACUGGCCCUGUGUUUGGUCCAACCCACCUUCCACUUUGCCUCUCAUGACUGAUCCUUGAUUUAUGCCCAGGUGUCCUCAAGCCCACACCCUGAUAGCUGACCCUCUGUCAGACUGUGCCUCUUACAAAAGGCCCUUCUCUUAUUCUUCUCUCUCAGGCCAACACCUGUCCUACUUCCACUCACUGACCUUCCCUGACCACUCCAGGUAAUAACUACUCCCUGUCUUCAGAACCCUGCCACACCACUCAUUGGGCAGAUAAUUUCAUGUUCUCCAUGGGGUCAUUCUGUGUUCCUCUGUGUGCAUGGUGCCUGGCAUAGAGCAGGGGUGCAAAAAUAUUUGUUGACUGAGUGUGCAAAUGUAAUCUCUUUCUCCUGGCAAAGUUUCCUGAAGGUAGAGGCCAUGUACUGUCUACUGCACAGCUGACUUUAUGCCCAAAGCUAGUCUGCCAGAUAUAUUUGUGUAUUAGCAGCUUAAAACCACCAGUCUGGUACCGGCCCCUUUAAGUGGAUUGACCAUACACAGAUGCACACACACACACACACACACACACACACACACACACACACACACAUACACACACGAGACAUAGUUGUUUUGUUUUUAACCUCAAUGUAUAAGACCCAGAAGGUCUUUGGAAAUCAUCAAGAGAAGAGCUCUCUGUGAUGACAGAAAUGUUUUAUAUCGGCUCUAUCCUAUAUGGCAGCCACUAGACACACAUAGCCAUUGAGCACUUGAAAUGUGGCCAGUGUGAUUGAGGAACUGGAUUUUUAAUUGCAUUUAAUUUAAAUUAUUUUAAAUGUAUGUAGCCCCAUGAAGCUAGUGGCUGCCAUUGUGGAUAGGCAGUUCCGGACCACUCCCAGUUCACCUGCUCUAACCUCUGCCCCUCACUGUCUCCCCUCCAGACCCCUGAGCCCCUUCCAGCACUGCUUGAGGUGCCCUCUACCUGUGCCUACCUCUCUUGUCUGCCAGUUUGAUUUGGACCUGUUUUUGCCACCUCAGCCCCCAUGCUCUUGUCAAACAUGUAUUUGGCCUCUGGCCAAACAGGGCCUGGAAGGAAAACAGAGUCCUGCUUCUGCUUGGCUUCCGCAUCAGGGAGGGGAGUUGAAGUGACAGCCUCCUGAUGGCUUAGAAAUGUGGAGGAUGCAUCAUGUUCUGGACAUGGCUGGCCAUAUGAAUGACAUCUUUUCUUUCUUUGAACCAUCUCCACCUGCUUUUAUGGACCGGCCCCCCCCCCCCGCCCCCGCCCCGCCGCCAUGGGCAGGGCAAAGGAUAGGCACAACUUGGAAGAUUUUGGCUUUGUGAUCCUCAGUGUCCAGAGUCACCCAGAUGGGCCGGAAGCUGCCUUUGAAGCCAACAAAUGCCAUUUGCUCUGAAAAGCAAUGAUGAGUCUCCUGAACAAAAGCCCUAUGAGAGGACGGCUGUCCCACCCCGUUCCAGGGCUCCCCAUCACCAGUCCCCCACCCCCACCAGGCAUCCCCCAGCCACACUGCACUGUGGCCCCUUGGGAAGAGCUCUGUGCUCAGCUACUGAUGGUGCCUGACAUGCAUUUGUAUGGGGCAGGCAGGGUCUCUCCUGAGCCUCACUGCCACCUAGGCAGGGUGAUGGCUUUGCUUUUGACAGGGGAGCCAUGCACAGCAGGAAAUGGGGCAAAUUGUAAGGGAGGAGACCUCCUAGGAACCUGCCUACCUUCGAACUGCCCCUAGGACCACCAGCAAGUCCCUGCCCCUCUCUGAAGCCCAGUGUUCCCAUCCAUCAGACGAUGGCAUUGAUCUACAAGAUCUCCUCCCCCGCCCUAUCACUCUGUGGCUUUAGAAGGAAUUCUGAGAGGUGAAGGAAUUUGACCAAGAGUGUGGAGUAAAUGGUGCAGCCCAGAUUCGAACUCUAACCCCCUGAACCCCACACAGCACUCCCCAUCUUGCAGUUCAGAGUUUGAGCAUCCAAGGGGCAUGGGAAUUCACAUCUAUACUCAGCCCAUCCUGGCAGGCAACAUGCAUUUAUCACCACCGGGAAAGUGCCAUUCAACUUAGGUCACAUUACAUACAUCAACUUUUGGCAACCGGGAUCUUAAUUUAAAAGACAGAGGCUCCAAAAUGAUUCUAGGACUGGGCUGGAAAGGAUACUUCUCUUUUCCUUAUGUUCUUCUUUGGCUGGUUUGAAGGGUUUGCAUUGCUUCUGAUUUUUCUUAUCACCCCAUAUGAUGGGCUUCUGAUAUGAUGUUUUCCAUAGUGAGGAUGGUGUAUAACUAAGAAGCCCAGCUUUGAGUUAGGAAGAUUAGGAUCCAAGUCCUAACCUUAAACAAGUGGCUUAGCUGUUAAAUUCUUGGUGUCCUCAUCUUAAAUGGAAAUAAUAGUACCUGGUGUACAGGUUAUUAAUGAGUAAGUGAGAUAAUUAUAACAUGUUCUGCAAAGUGCAAGGCCGAACAUUAAACAGAACCACAAUGAUCAUUAUCAUUAUUGCCCAUGGAGCUGCUCUACUGCCCACACAACCUCUCUGAGGACUCUCCCUGCACCUAGUUUUUGUGAUAUAAUGGGUGUCAUGCUGAUAUGUCCCUCCUGGAUGGCUUCUUCCAGCACAGCCUGCAAACCUGUGCUAGGCUUCACCACCAAAGAGUUGCCUGGCCUUGAACAAGCCAUGUAGGUUCUCUGGGCUUCUAGUUUUCUUUUCAUCUACCUAUCUCAGAGGAACAAAUAAGAGUUUUGCAAGCUGCAAAGGACUAUACAAAUGCUAGGCAUCAGCUGGAAUGUUGAAGAAGAUGCAGGACCCCUGGCCAGUCUGAAUAGCAGGAAUGGGGUAGGAGGGUGAGGCUAAGCUACUUUUCUUAUGAUACUUUUGUUGAAUAAAGGGCCACUUUCCAAGCAAA